UAGACCACACCACACAUAUGUGCCACCCUGACCAGGCUGAAGCUGACAUGAUUAGCAAGCAUCGUAGCGUUUAGUUUUAGGACUGGUUUUCCUGACUCAGCUGGCUUGUCUGGCAGCUUGCAACCUAUGGGAACCUGAGGAACUGCAUCACAAGAGUGAAAGGGACGCCCACCUAGCACUUCUUCGAGGAUGGUGCCUUGAAGAAGGGAGGACUGCGCCUAAAGUGAAUGCCAUGGCAGGCAAUGUGCUGAGGCUUGGGCCAUGUGGAACUGGAGGCAGCCAAGUCAUCAAAGAAGAUAGGACUUCGGCUCAUUCAGAAACCAUGUGAACUACGGCACAAGAGGCCCAGGGCACCGGAACAGCUGGCUGAAUAAACAGCUAAGCCUUUCAAACAUUGAAGUGUGUGCUAUCCCAAGGGGAGUAGUUUGAAGGGGAUUAGAGUUUUAGACCUCAAGGCAAAUAAAUGUAUUUUUUCCUUCCAAA
Molecule: unclassified non-coding RNA, 483 nt
Filed under: Ixodes scapularis (black-legged tick)
Lineage: Eukaryota; Metazoa; Arthropoda; Arachnida; Ixodida; Ixodidae
Description: uncharacterized LOC115321801, transcript variant X4
Source: RNAcentral